Molecule: long non-coding RNA, 657 nt
Organism: Glycine soja
Lineage: Eukaryota; Viridiplantae; Streptophyta; Magnoliopsida; Fabales; Fabaceae
Exons: 3
Source: RefSeq, a predicted model, not a curated record
AAAGUUGGCAAAAAAAAAGGCAUGUACACUACAUUUAAGUAGCAGACUUGGCCACCAAUCCAAAGUUAACAUCCACCAAACUAUCUCCACCAACCAAUACGGAGGAUCCAAGUGGUGGAGGUAACAAUAAUUGGAACAACAAUGGGUCAUCGCAAACUACAGAGGAUAGCUGGAAAAAAUCUACAACUGAAGGGACCAAUAUCCAGGGUGGUGGGUAGAACAAGGGAUCUAGUUCAAACACUACUUCUAAGGACUGGGGUCAAUCAAGUACUGCAGACAAGGGUCAAGCAUCUAGUUGGAAAGAAGCAGCAGAUGGAUGUUUCUGAGAGAAAGAUAAGAUUUGCAUAAAAUCUUUCGGUUAAAGAUCUGAUCUAGAGGAUUGAAGAUACUGUGACGGAAAUGGAAUUUAGAAUCCAAAAGAAAAAUGGCAAAGUUUGUACUAUAACUUAUGUUUUAUUCAAGUUGCUUCUGUUUCCUGCAAACUUGCAACUAAACUAAAUGUUAGUUUAGCUAAAAGUACAUAGAAUACCAAAAUUUCAGUUGAAAGUGAUGCGAGAGAACAAGGUGCACAAAACUCUCGGCUGCUUCUCAGUGGUAGUAGAGGUAAUGUAUGUUUAGAAUGAGCUAAUCGAUCGUAAACUACUCUUUACAUCUCAA